RNAcentral lists this ribosomal RNA (407 nucleotides) under uncultured bacterium. RNAcentral's name for it is "partial 16S ribosomal RNA". It matches the Rfam family "Bacterial small subunit ribosomal RNA", at positions 30 to 526 of the family's 1533-position model. The record is from RNAcentral.
AUUGAACGCUGGCGGCAGGCCUAAUACAUGCAAGUCGAGCGGAGCGGCGGACGGGUGAGUAAUGCCUAGGAAUCUGCCUGGUAGUGGGCGAUAACGUCCGGAAACGGGAGCUAAUACAGCAUACGAUAAGAUGAGUUUAGGUCGGCUUAGCUAGUUGGUGGGGUAAAGGCCUACCAAGGCGACGAUCCGUAACCGGUCUGAGAGGAUGAUCAGUCACACUGGAACUGAGACACGGUCCAGACUCCUACGGGAGGCAGCAGUGGGGAAUAUUGGGCAAUGGGCGAAAGCCUGAUCCAGCCAUGCCGCGUGUGUGAAGAAGGUCUUCGGAUUGUAAAGCACUUUAAGUUGGGAGGCGUUACCAACAGAAUAAGCACCGGCUAACUUCGUGCCAGCAGCCGCGGUAAUAC